UGAAAAGCACUUCGAACAGAAGAGUGAAAUAGUCCCUGAACCCAUACGCCUACAAGCUGUCGGAGCCGCUUCGUGCGGUGACGGCGUGCCUUUUGCAUAAUGAGCCUACGAGUUACUCAUCACCAGCGAGGUUAAGUACUUCAGGUACGUAAGCCGAAGCGAAAGCGAGUCUGAAUAGGGCGUCAAGUUGGUGGUGGUAGACGCGAAACCUUAGUGAUCUACCCAUGGGCAGGGUGAAGGUUUGGUAACACAAACUGGAGGCCCGAACCGGUAAACGUUGAAAAGUUUUCGGAUGACCUGUGGGUAGGGGUGAAAGGCCAAUCAAACUGGGAAAUAGCUCGUACUCUCCGAAAUGCAUUUAGGUGCAGCCUCUGUUGUUUUGUUCUAGAGGUAGAGCUACUGAUUGGAUGCGAGGGCUUCACCGCCUAUCAAAUCCGGCCAAACUCCGAAUGCUAGAACAUGAAGACAGGGAGUGAGCCAGCGGGUGCUAAGGUCCGUUGACGAAAGAGGGAGAACUCAGACCAUCAGCUAAGGUCCCCAAUUAUAUGCUAAGUUGGAAUAAAAACGGGGUGGGACUGCUUAGACAGCUAGGAUGUUGGCUUGGAAGCAGCCAUUCAUUUAAAGAGUGCGUAACAGCUCACUAGUCGAGCGGUCCUGCAUGGAUAAUACGCGGGCAUAAGCAUAUAACCGAAGCUAUGGGAUUGUAGAUGAUACAAUCGGUAGGAGAGCAUUCCAUUCAGCAUAGAAGCAGUACCGUGAGGUAUUGUGGAGCGGAUGGAAAAGCAAAUGUAGGCAUAAGUAACGAUAAUGCGGGUGAGAACCCCGCACGCCGAAAGAUCAAGGAUUCCCCGGCAAUGUCAAUCAUCCGGGGGUAAGUCGGAUCCUAAGGGUAAGCCGAGUGGCGAUCCCGAUGGUAAACAGGUUAAUAUUCCUGUACUGAUCAUAACUGCGAUGCAGCGACGCAGAGGUGACACUGCUGCGUACUGACGGAAUAGUACGUUGAAACCCGUAUUCUUUGAUACCGGUAGUGAAGCACGCCGGUAGAGAUGAAAGGUGAUAGUACCGCAAUGCUUCGGUUGCGCGGAUAAUGCAGGUAAGCUGACUGCCAAGAAAACCUGCUAAGCUUCAGGUAAUGAUCAUCCGUACUGUAAACGGACACACGUGAUCAGGUAGAAAAUACUAAGGCGCUCGAGAGAUUCAUGGUUAAGGAACUAGGCAAAAUGGUCCUGUAACUUCGGGAUAAAGGACGCUCUUGUGAAAGAGCCGCAGAUAAUAGGCCCAGGCGACUGUUUACCAAAAACACAUGGCUAUGCUAAUUCGCAAGAAGAUGUAUAUGGCCUGACACCUGCCCGGUGCCGGAAGGUUAAGAGGAGAGCUCAGAUGUAAGUCGAAGGUUUGAAUUGAAGCCCCGGUAAACGGCGGCCGUAACUAUAACGGUCCUAAGGUAGCGAAAUUCCUUGUCGGGUAAGUUCCGACCUGCACGAAUGGUGUAACGAUCUGGGUACUGUCUCAACCAUGAGCUCGGUGAAAUUGUAGUUCCGGUGAAGAUGCCGGAUACCCGCAACGGGACGGAAAGACCCCGUGAACCUUUACUGCAGCUUUGCAUUGAUUUUGGGUAACAGAUGUGUAGGAUAGGUCGGAGGCUUUGAUGCUGCGUCGUCAGGCGUAGAGUAGCCGUCGUUGAAAUACGACCCUUUUGUUAUCUGAGGUCUAAUCCCGUUAGGGAGACAUUGCAUGGUGGGUAGUUUGACUGGGGUGGUCGCCUCCAAAAGUGUAACGGAGGCUUCUCAAGGUACCCUCAAGGCGUUUGGUAAUCGUCUGCAGAGUGCAAUGGCAUAAGGGUGCUUGACUGUGAGACCGACACGUCGAUCAGGUUGGAAACAAGAGCAUAGUGAUCCGGUGGUUCCGCAUGGAAGGGCCAUCGCU
RNAcentral lists this ribosomal RNA (1926 nucleotides) under human gut metagenome. RNAcentral describes it as "bacterial LSU rRNA". It matches the Rfam family "Bacterial large subunit ribosomal RNA", at positions 515 to 2449 of the family's 2925-position model. The record is from RNAcentral.